This 460-nucleotide ribosomal RNA is filed under the name uncultured bacterium. RNAcentral's name for it is "partial 16S ribosomal RNA". It matches the Rfam family "Bacterial small subunit ribosomal RNA", at positions 38 to 507 of the family's 1533-position model. The record is from RNAcentral.
GAAGAAAGAGGGAGGAGGGAGGAAAAUAGGAAAGUUGAGCGGGAAGGUUUCUUCGGGGGUAAAAGAGAGGAGAACGGGUGAGUAAAAGGUGGGUGAACUGUGUUAAGCUCUGGGAUAAGCCUGGGAAACUGGGUUUAAUACCGGAUAUGACCUUUCCUCGCAUGGGGUUUGGUGGAAAGUUUUUUCGGCUGGGGAUGGGCCCGCGGCCUAUCAGCUUGUUGGUGGGGUGAUGGCCUACCAAGGCGACGCCGGGUAGCCGCCCUGAGAGGGCGACCGGCCACACUGGGACUGAGACACGGCCCAGACUCAUACGGGAGGCAGAAGUGGGGAAUAUUGAGCAAUGGGCGGAAGCCUGACGCAGCGACGCCUCAUGGUCUCUUCCCUCCUUCGGUUUGUAAACCUCUUUUAACCCCGACGAAUUUGGACGGUAGGGGUGGAAGAAGCACCAACCCACUACGUU